GACGAACGCUGGCGGCGUGCCUAAUACAUGCAAGUCGAGCGGAUGACAGAGGAGCUUGCUCCUCUAGAUUCAGCGGCGGACGGGUGAGUAACACGUGGGCAACCUGCCCUGUAGAUUGGGAUAACUCCGGGAAACCGGGGCUAAUACCGAAUAAUCCUUCGGACCUCAUGGUCCGAUGUUGAAAGGCGGCUUCGGCUGUCACUACAGGAUGGGCCCGCGGCGCAUUAGCUAGUUGGUGAGGUAACGGCUCACCAAGGCCACGAUGCGUAGCCGACCUGAGAGGGUGAUCGGCCACACUGGGACUGAGACACGGCCCAGACUCCUACGGGAGGCAGCAGUAGGGAAUCUUCCGCAAUGGACGAAAGUCUGACGGAGCAACGCCGCGUGAGUGAGGAAGGCCUUCGGGUCGUAAAGCUCUGUUGCCAGGGAA
Molecule: ribosomal RNA, 430 nt
Filed under: uncultured bacterium
Lineage: Bacteria
Description: bacterial SSU rRNA
Rfam family: Bacterial small subunit ribosomal RNA
Source: RNAcentral